CAGUCGCAGCGGCCGGUGCUUUGGGAAGGACAAACACCAGAGGAGGUUCCCGAUGCAACCUUGAGAUCUCAGCCAUCCGUGUUAUCACUGGCUGAAAAACUUCAAUGAAUUAGGAAGAGGCCACAUAAAAGCAAAGAAGACAUGCUGCAUGAAGUCAUGUAGCAGUCCCUUAA
Chelonia mydas (Green sea turtle) is the source of this 173-nucleotide long non-coding RNA. RefSeq lists it as uncharacterized. The transcript is spliced from 2 exons. The record is from RefSeq and is a predicted model, not a curated record. Lineage: Eukaryota; Metazoa; Chordata; Testudines; Cheloniidae.